UACGUAGGGUGCGAGCGUUGUCCGGAAUUAUUGGGCGUAAAGCGCGCGUAGGCGGUUACUCAAGUCGGAUGUGAAAGCCCUCGGCUUAACUGAGGAAGUGCACCCGAAACUGAGUAGCUAGAGUACCAAAGAGGGUCGCGGAAUUCCCGGUGUAGAGGUGAAAUUCGUAGAUAUCGGGAGGAACACCGGUGGCGAAGGCGGCGACCUGGGUGGAUACUGACGCUGAGGCGCGAAAGCGUGGGGAGCAAACAGG
This 253-nucleotide ribosomal RNA is filed under the name uncultured bacterium. Its description in RNAcentral is "partial 16S ribosomal RNA". It matches the Rfam family "Bacterial small subunit ribosomal RNA", at positions 524 to 776 of the family's 1533-position model. The record is from RNAcentral.